This 385-nucleotide ribosomal RNA is filed under the name Babesia vogeli. RNAcentral describes it as "SSU rRNA". It matches the Rfam family "Eukaryotic small subunit ribosomal RNA", at positions 450 to 890 of the family's 1831-position model. Lineage: Eukaryota; Apicomplexa; Aconoidasida; Piroplasmida; Babesiidae. The record is from RNAcentral.
CCUGACACAGGGAGGUAGUGACAAGAAAUAACAAUACAGGGCUAAUGUCUUGUAAUUGGAAUGAUGGUGACCCAAACCCUCACCAGAGUAGCAAUUGGAGGGCAAGUCUGGUGCCAGCAGCCGCGGUAAUUCCAGCUCCAAUAGCGUAUAUUAAACUUGUUGCAGUUAAAAAGCUCGUAGUUGAAUUUUAGCGUGUUCGAGUUUGCCAUUCGUUUGGCUUUUUCGAGUUCGCUUUUGGGUUUUCCCUUUUUACUUUGAGAAAAUUAGAGUGUUUCAAGCAGACUUUUGUCUUGAAUACUUCAGCAUGGAAUAAUAGAGUAGGACUUUGGUUCUAUUUUGUUGGUUAUUGAACCUUAGUAAUGGUUAAUAGGAACGGUUGGGGGCA